GUGCCAGCCGCCGCGGUAAUACGGAGGGUGCAAGCGUUGUUCGGAUUUACUGGGCGUAAAGCGCGCGCAGGCGGAUUGGCAAGUCAGAUGUGAAAUCUCGGGGCUCAACCCCGAAACUGCGUCUGAAACUGCUAGUCUAGAGUCUCAUAGGGGGCAGGGGAAUUUCACGUGUAGGGGUAAAAUCCGUAGAGAUGUGAAGGAACACCCGUGGCGAAGGCGCCUGCCUGGAUGAGUACUGACGCUGAGGCGCGAAAGCGUGGGGAGCAAACAGGAUUAGAAACCCUAGUAGUC
Molecule: ribosomal RNA, 291 nt
Filed under: uncultured bacterium
Lineage: Bacteria
Description: partial 16S ribosomal RNA
Rfam family: Bacterial small subunit ribosomal RNA
Source: RNAcentral